Molecule: non-coding RNA, 110 nt
Organism: Acanthosepion pharaonis
Lineage: Eukaryota; Metazoa; Mollusca; Cephalopoda; Sepiida; Sepiidae
Source: the annotation of a GenBank genome assembly
UUACGGCUAUAUCACAUUGAAAAAACAGAUUCUCAUACAAUCACUGAAGUUAAGCAAUGUCAAGACUGGUCAGUACCUGGAUGUGUGACCACUUGGGAAAACCAGGUGCU